This 560-nucleotide ribosomal RNA is filed under the name Exophiala pisciphila. Its description in RNAcentral is "eukaryotic LSU rRNA". The stretch from base 201 to 355 matches the Rfam family "5.8S ribosomal RNA". The record is from RNAcentral. Lineage: Eukaryota; Fungi; Ascomycota; Eurotiomycetes; Chaetothyriales; Herpotrichiellaceae.
AUCAUUAACGAGUUAGGGUCCCUCGCGGCCCGACCUCCCAACCCUUUGUCUACCUGACCACUGUUGCUUCGGCGAGCCCGUCUAUGGACCGCCGGGGGGUACCUUGAUCGGCCCUCUGGUCCGCGCUCGUCGAUAGCCAAACUUUUAAAAUCUUAACCAAACGUGUCUCAAUCUAAGUAUUAUUUGUUAAAUAAAAGCAAAACUUUCAACAACGGAUCUCUUGGUUCUGGCAUCGAUGAAGAACGCAGCGAAAUGCGAUAAGUAAUGCGAAUUGCAGAAUUUCAGUGAGUCAUCGAAUCUUUGAACGCACAUUGCGCCCUUUGGUAUUCCGAAGGGCAUGCCUGUUCGAGCGUCAUUAUCACCCCUCAAGCCCCCGGCUUGGUGUUGGACGGUUUGGUGGAGGCCCCCUCGCGGGGCCACCGCCCCUCCCAAAGACAAUGACGGCGGCCUCGUUGGACCCCCGGUACACUGAGUUCUUCACGGGACACGUAUCGGACACAUGGGUUUACGGGACACGGUCUGCCUCCCCUCAGGGAGAAUCUUUCUAAGGUUGACCUCGG